CAGCAGCCGCGGUAAUACCGGCGGCCCGAGUGGCGGUCACUAUUAUUGGGCUUAAAGCGUCCGUAGCCGGGUUGGGAAGUCCUCCGGGAAAUCUGGCCGCUUAACGGUCAGAAUGCCGGAGGAUACUCCCAGCCUAGGGAGCGGGCGAGGCCGAGGGUAUUCCCGGAGUAGGGGUGAAAUCCUAUAAUCCCGGGAGGACCACCUGUGGCGAAGGCGCUCGGCUGGAACGCGUCCGACGGUGAGGGACGAAGGCCAGGGGAGCAAACCGGAUUAGAUACCCGGGUAGUCCUGGCUGUAAACGAUGCGGACUUUGUGUCGGACAAGCUAUGAGCUUGUCCGGUGCCGGAGGGAAACCGUUAAGUCCGCCGCCUGGGGAGUACGGCCGCAAGGCUGAAACUUAAAGGAAUUGGCGGG
Molecule: ribosomal RNA, 414 nt
Filed under: uncultured microorganism
Description: bacterial SSU rRNA
Rfam family: Archaeal small subunit ribosomal RNA
Source: RNAcentral